This 443-nucleotide ribosomal RNA is filed under the name uncultured bacterium. Its description in RNAcentral is "bacterial SSU rRNA". It matches the Rfam family "Bacterial small subunit ribosomal RNA", at positions 338 to 795 of the family's 1533-position model. The record is from RNAcentral.
CCUACGGGUGGCAGCAGUAGGGAAUAUUGCACAAUGGAGGAAACUCUGAUGCAGCGACGCCGCGUGAGUGAUGAAGGCCUUCGGGUCGUAAAGCUCUGUCGUAUGGGACUAACAAAAUGAAGGUACCAUGCAAGAAAGGAUCGGCUAACUUCGUGCCAGCAGCCGCGGUAAGACGAGGGAUCCUAGCGUUGUUCGGAAUUAUUGGGCGUAAAGCGGGUGUAGGUGGACUUAUAAGUCAGGUGUGAAAUCCCAGGGCUCAACCCUGGAAGUGCACUUGAUACUGCAAGUCUUGAGUGUGGUAGAGGCUAUUAGAAUUCUUGGUGUAGUGGUGAAAUACGUAGAUAUCAAGAGGAAUACCGGAGGCGAAGGCGGAUAGCUGGGCCAACACUGACACUGAGACCCGAAAGCGUGGGGAUCAAACAGGAUUAGAUACCCGAGUAGUC